This 31-nucleotide non-coding RNA is filed under the name Homo sapiens (human). Lineage: Eukaryota; Metazoa; Chordata; Mammalia; Primates; Hominidae. The record is from RNAcentral.
UUGUUGAAUGGAUGAGUGGGUGGAUGACAGC